ACCAAUAUGUAAAUGACUAACGGUAGAACUGAUGUGCUGUAACAGGAACCGACAAAAUUCCUUCUCUUAUUUUUUGUUACAGCAUAUUUUCACUCACCAAUCGUACGACUAGCUUAGUGGCAGACUGUAAGCACCUUUGCAAAUUUACUAUACACAAUACGUACAUACACAUAUAGUAUAUAUUGCCGAUAAAGCUAAACAAACGCUAAAAUAAUAAAAAUGUGAAAGCAAAAAACCGCUAAAUGAACGGUAACUACCCUGUAAGAAAAUUAUUUAUUUUAAAAUCCUAUUGGAGAAUUCGUUUGGUAGAACCAGAAUCAUGAAUUAAUUAACAUUUUCUGGUAGAACCCUGUACCCACAUAAUUAUCGACAACUUUUCAAGACAAUAUUCGGACAGCAGAUACAUACGAUUCGGCGCUAAACAUUGGCAGAAAUACACACCCGCAUAUGUACAUACAUUUGCUUGUUUAUCUAUUUGUAGUAAGUACAAUAUAUAUGUAUGUAUGUAUGUAUCUAAUUUCGGUCACCACUCGCUAGCGCUGUGUGUAUUAAUAAUUUGGAUUCGUAUUAAUUACCAAACCACUCCGCUUUUCCCAUUGGCAUUUCACAUAACAAUGGCAACAACAACAACAACAGCCGACGCCAAAAUGACAGCACCGCAUGUUCGGGCGCACAUGGUUUGAAGGUGAUUACCUUUUACAAAAACAAAAAUAAUACACAAGUUUCCCAUUCAUACCGAAUAUAAAGCACAAUAACAACAAAAAUGUAGGUACAAGAGAGUGAGCACACGAGUAAACUAUGCGAAUGAGUGUGCGAGCAAAUGAGUAAGCGAACGAUUUCCAAUAUGAAUAGCCGAAAUGACAACACCAACACGACGCCGGCGACGUCAUCGCAGCUGUGGAGCCACAGCGUAAGCAGCUGAGUACUCGCGCACGCAGUACCUAUAUAAAAGCAACAACAAGAACAAAUAUAUGUACGUAACACGACGUAAUUUUAUACACGAAAAAGAGACCAAAGAAGAAGAAGCAGCAGCAACAGCAGUAGACAUUUUGUUGAGUAGAGUAAACGCGCAUUAAUUGUAGAAAAAGAAAAAAUAGCAGCCCGCUGUGACGGGGCCUCUGGCACGAGACUAGUUGGAAACGGCAAUACUCGUAGCGACGACACUGCUGCAUGGCAGUCGACUAUGGCCGCAGAUAGACACACAUCCAAUAUAUAAAUAUGUACAUAUUAAUGUAUGUAUGUAAGUAUGUAGAGGCAGCGCACAAACAGUACUGUGAGGCGCAACGUGGAGCCAACACCAGGCGAUACCAAUACGCUGCAAUGACUUGUUGUUGCUUUUGUUUUUGUAGUUUUCUGGCUGUUAUUGGCACAACAGCUUUUUGCGAAACCUCACCAAAAGCAGGCAGACGAGCUGGCGAGUGGGACCCACAAGAAAUAGAUACAGCGCAACGGCGACGUCGUUGCGUUUUUAUUGAGUGUGUGCAGCAGGCUUUGAGAGUGUUUGCACAAUUCGUUGCAUUAGAAUGCGCAAACUACACACAUAUAUAUAUAUAUAUAUAUGUACAUAUAUACACAGACGUUUGGGACAGCGAGUGAGAGCGCAAUUGAAAGCUAUUGCUGGCGUUUUGGCGCUUGGUAGUAUUGCAUGGCUGAGAGGGGGAGUGUGCAUGGGAUUUUGGAGUGCUGACGACAGAGGCUGUCUGGCAAUGAAUUGAGAGCAUGAGCGAAUGCACACUUGCUUAAAUAGUAUGUAUACAUAUUGUUUGUAUGUAUAAGUAUAAGUAAUCUUUGGUUAUUUUAUUUGCAUGUUCUCUGUCAUAUUUAUUUGCUAAAAUGUUUUGUAAUCGAAUUUCGGUAUGCACCGGCUGUUGGCACUAAAAGCAAGCGCCUCCACUUUCGGUAGCCUUUGCCGUCCCGUGCCCACUACCACUCCCACUUAUAAUUGUUACGAGCCGAGUAGACAUUUACAUUUUGUUGUAUGUUAGUCUGGCGCUUAGAAUAUUUGAGAAAAUGCGAGUUUAUGGUAGCUUUCAUAACUAUGACUGAGCUGACGAAUGACCCUCUCAACCAGGGGUGACCAAAAAAUGAAACUAUAGAGCCGCACGUCAUGCCUAUACAACGACGCCAGAGAAGACGACGCUGAACACACAUUCUUUAAAUGUCUGCGAUGGUAACGGUAACGGACCGCCGUAGAAGACCUGGUUGGCUCAAUAAACGCGGAUAAUAUAAUUAGCGCAAUAUCCGGGAGAGCGAAGUAAAGUGGAAAAUUAUUCAGAAAUACACAACAAUUGUGCUAUGCAGCAAAAAGCGGUAACUGGGCACAGGUGCGCAGAUGUAAAUCUCUCACAGAAAGAUAUGGAACGGCACACUGAAGUAUUGUAAACGUGGUUCCAGGGUGGGCGAUAGCUCCAUAGUGACCUGCAAGUGACACAUAACGUUGCUGUGACAACCGCUUUGGUGAUGCAGAAGGCAUUUUCCGUCUUGUCACUCGCAAAAAAAAA
Molecule: non-coding RNA, 2501 nt
Organism: Bactrocera oleae (olive fruit fly)
Lineage: Eukaryota; Metazoa; Arthropoda; Insecta; Diptera; Tephritidae
Source: RefSeq, a predicted model, not a curated record